RNAcentral lists this unclassified non-coding RNA (359 nucleotides) under soil metagenome. RNAcentral describes it as "partial contains 5.8S ribosomal RNA, internal transcribed spacer 2, and large subunit ribosomal RNA". The stretch from base 1 to 120 matches the Rfam family "5.8S ribosomal RNA", at positions 35 to 154 of the family's 154-position model. The record is from RNAcentral.
GAUGAAGAACGUAGCGAAACGCGAUAGUUAAUGUGAAUUGCAGAAUUCAGUGAAUCAUCGAGUCUUUGAACGCACAUUUCGCCCCCUGGUAUUCCGGGGGGCAUGCCUGUCCGAGCGUCAUUGCUGCCCAUCAAGCGCGGCUUGUGUGUUGGGCCGCCGUCCGCCUUCCCCCCCGGGGGGAGGGGGACGGGCCCGAAAGGCAGCGGCGGCACCGCGUCCGGUCCUCGAGCGUAUGGGGCUCUGUCACCCGCUCUGGAGGCCCGGCCGGCGCCCGCCGACCCCCAACCUUCUUCUAACCAGGUUGACCUCGGAUCAGGUAGGGAUACCCGCUGAACUUAAGCAUAUCAAUAAGCGGAGGA